Helianthus annuus (common sunflower) is the source of this 792-nucleotide long non-coding RNA. RefSeq lists it as uncharacterized. The transcript is spliced from 4 exons. The record is from RefSeq and is a predicted model, not a curated record. Lineage: Eukaryota; Viridiplantae; Streptophyta; Magnoliopsida; Asterales; Asteraceae.
GUCGAAAGUUGCAUGCCAACACGAAGUUUGAUGCGGAUGAACCGGAGGAUCCACCAAAGGUUGAAGAGAAGCUUGGUGCUGUUCCACAUGGUUCAUCCAUUGAUUCUUAUGGAAAUAUCUUUGCACCAGUGGUGAGAAGUUUGAGUUCCAGGCUGAGAUAUCUUAGCUUAUGGACAUAGGCUGAGGUAUCUUGGCUAAUGUCUACACGUGUGGCCAUGGCAAGGAACGAUUCUGUUGCUGGGUAUUCAGAAAAAUGGACCACACUAGAAGCCAUCUUGACCCACGGUUGAAGAAACAAGCAUCACAUGAGUGCUGAAUUCACCUGUCAUGUUGAAGUCAAACGCAUACGCAAUAGCACCAAGAGUGGUUCAGGCUGGCAUGUGGCGGUGGGAAUUGCAUGAAAGGUGUGGGGCGUGAAGACAACGAUAUGUGGUGUGAUGGGUGCGAAAACCCCGUUGUCUUCCCGAGAGGAAGUUUCAGGCUAGAACUCGAGGUGUUUGACUCAACAGCCGAAGCUGCCGUUGUCUGCUUUGAUAACACCGCCCAACGCUUGACAAAGACCAUUGCUCAUAGUAUACUCACAGCAGAGUCUGGCCUGUCACGCGUCUACAGCCUUUAUUCCACUGACAUACAGGAUAAGUUCACUCCGGUUACGGUAAGGAACGCUGAUGGAAGCAUUUCAACACUGCCGAAUUGUUUGCACUCUCUUGUGGGCAGCACUCAGACCCUCCAGCUUGAUUGGUGUACGUAUUAUGAUCAUGGCCAUUUUGAAUCCUUCAACUACAAUGUCAC